GAUGAACGCUGGCGGCGUGCCUAAUACAUGCAAGUCGAGCGAACAGACGAGGAGCUUGCUCCUCUUACGUUAUCGGCGGACGGGUGAGUAACACGUGGAUAACCUACCUAUAAGACUGGGAUAACUUCGGGAAACCGGAGCUAAUACCGGAUAAUAUAUUGAACCGCAUGGUUCAAUAGUGAAAGACGGUUUUGCUGUCACUUAUAGAUGGAUCCGCGCCGCAUUAGCUAGUUGGUAAGGUAACGGCUUACCAAGGCAACGAUGCGUAGCCGACCUGAGAGGGUGAUCGGCCACACUGGAACUGAGACACGGUCCAGACUCCUACGGGAGGCAGCAGUAGGGAAUCUUCCGCAAUGGGCGAAAGCUUGACGGGGCAACGCCGCGUGAGUGAUGAAGGUCUUCGGAUCGUAAAACUCUGUUAUUAGGGAAGAACAAAUGUGUAAGUAACUAUGCACGUAUUGACGGUACCUAAUCAGAAAGCCACGGCUAACUACGUG
Molecule: ribosomal RNA, 497 nt
Filed under: uncultured bacterium
Lineage: Bacteria
Description: partial 16S ribosomal RNA
Rfam family: Bacterial small subunit ribosomal RNA
Source: RNAcentral